UUUCUAUGUACUGACUUUUGGAUCUGAAAUUUUGCUUUCAGGACAAAUGGGGGAAGAGAAUGUACAUUACAUCAGUAUGCUAUGGUCGGAAAGUGGAGUAGCUAGCAUUCUUGUAUGUGGUUAGCUGGCUAUUUCAGCUAUGUAUACAAUUCGUAAAAAACAAAGUGGUCACCUAGUUUAUGAAGUGAGUUCAUGAAGAGAAACAGGUAAAUCUUUACUAGUUUACAGUGGGAAAGCAAAAAAGAAUCAGGAUGAUGAUGUUAGACACCUCUCUUUGUUUUUCCCAAAACCUUGUCUGCAAAAGUCAUCUCUGUUUCUUUCUCGUACUAUGAUGAGUGUUGCAAGCUCUAUCUACUUCCUCAUAAUCUUACAACAAGUUGAUGUCAAGUGGAAAAUUCAAGCUCCGGCGGGAAUGAAUGCAAGAGUAGACAACAAAGAGCACACUAGACAUCAUUAUCCAACAUAGAGAUCCAUAUCAGUGUUUUGAAUGAAAUUCUACAAUGGACUUGUUUCUUAUUGGGCUAAAAUAAUUGUAUUUGAGGCCCAUUGUGUUUUAAGAUAAUAAAGAAGGCUGAGGACAAGUUCGAGCUCAGGGGGGAAGAUCUGAUUUGGCAUCGGAUGUGCUUUUAGAUUUUGAAGGAGCUGCAAGAGAAAAGCUUCGAGCAAAGGCAAAAGUGUGGAUCUCUGAUUUGGCGGCGUUUGGUUCAAAAUUCUAAUGAUCUUAAAAGCUUUGUCGAGUGGUCAGAUUAUAACUGAAGUACUAUAUUAAGGACUUGCCUUUGCGUUUGUUCUGUGUGUCUGUUUGUUGAUCUCUAACUCAAAUAGUCAACAAAUGCCGAUAUUGAGUUGAUUUACUCAUGGUUUAUGAAAUAUAUAUAUUAUUAAAUCACUUGUAGUUAGUGAAGUGGGACUAUGUGUAUAUUUGAUUUAUACAUUUGGCAUUGUUAUUAUUUUUUGAACGGUCAGAGAUGAACGAGUUUGGUUUAAUUUAGAUUGAUUUCCGGUUAAAUUAACCAAACCCGGUCGAACGACUACAGAAAACCCUAAAUACGCACAGCCUUCAACCCAUUUGGGAGUCGUCACUCUCGAUUAAACCCUAAAACCCUCCACUGAAGAGGCAGAGAGCAAACAAACGCAGUCUUUGCGAAAAUUUAAGAAAGGAGAAAAAAUGAGACCACCGAUGCGCGGCGGAGGAGGUUUCAGGGGCAGGGGAGGACGUGACGGAGGCGGUAGAUUCGGUGGAGGAGGAGGACGCUUUGGUGGUGGAGGAGGACGCUUUGGUGGUGGAGGCGGUCGCUUUGGUGGUCAGAGUAACGAAGGUCCUCCUGCGGAAGUCGUGGGUUCGUUUCUAUACUUGACUUAGCUUUUACUUCGUUAUUGGUUUUUGUUUUUGAAUGUGUAGCAGAAAUGUACAAGAGCAAAUGUUCAAUGAUUUAUCAGUGUUUUCUCAUUGAUGGAGUCGUAUCAUGCUUACUUUGUUUCCCUUGAGCUAGUCUCGUUGGAUUUCAUGUAGAGAAAACACUCCACUAAGCUUCUUUAGAAGUUUGAUGCUUUUGACGGAUUUGGGUGUUGUAUCAUUUACCGUUUGUUUCAGCUUUGGGUUGAGUAUAUGGUUUUAAUGGAAAGUGAUAUAUAUGCCUGUGAAGACAUUUCUUCUUGAUUCGUUUGUGAUGAGGUUGAGUUCUUUGGUUUCAGAGGUUGCAACUUUCGUUCAUGCUUGCGAGGGAGAUGCUGUGACUAAACUCUCACAUGAGAAGAUUCCUUAUUUCAAUGCUCCAAUCUACCUAGAGAACAAGACUCAGAUUGGUAAAGUGGAUGAAAUCUUCGGGCCUAUUAAUGAAUCUGUAAGUUCUUUGUUUCUGUUGUCUUCUUCUUCCGGUCAUAAGCACACAAGAAGAUUCAGACAUUAAUUCUGGUUUGUUUCUUCUGCAGUUGUUUUCUAUCAAAAUGAUGGAAGGUAUUGUAGCCACCUCGUAUUCCCCUGGAGAUAAGUUCUUCAUCGACCCUUACAAGCUUUUGCCUCUCUCUCGAUUCCUUCCUCAGCCAAAGUAAGUCCCACCUCUUAACACUUUGGUUAAAAUAUAGACAAGAUAGCUUUUUUCCUCUGAACUACCAAGACUAAAGAUACACUAUUAGUUUUGAAAGUUGUUAAUUGUAGCAAACUCCAUUUAACGGUAUGUCUUUGUUUUUCCAGGGGUCAGCCAGGAAGUGGACGUGGAGGUCGUGGAAGAGGUGAUGGCGGGAGAGGUAGCUUCCGUGGUAGAGGUGCUCCAAGAGGUAGAGGCCCUCCAAGAGGUAGAGGAUUUCCAUCACGAGGGGGUUCUCGUGGAGGCUUUAGAGGCAGAGGACGAGGAUAGAUUCUUCUCCUACUUGACUAGCUUUAUCCAAACUUGUGUACCCUUUGUUUUAUUAAUGACUGUCGUUUUCCCAGAUUCUCAGUUUUCAAGACUUUGUUUUAAUCUAUGGCUUAAAAAAUAUUAAAAUUGCAGUGAUUAGCUCCGCUUGAUAGACAUUUAGAAAAGGUUACACCGUCACUAGCAAUUGGUUUUUAUUACUCUAAAAAAUAGAUUCAAAUCACAAAGCAAGUCAACAAUAUAGAGUGAUAGUUUUAACGAAUUCUUGUUCUUGAGCUUCCAUGUGGAUUUAUCAAGAACCCCAGCCUCUGAUAAUGGUAGCUUGAGCGACACGGUUGAUACCAAGGGUGAAAGCUCCCAUACGGAGAUCACAUGAGUGAGUCGCACACAUCUCUUUCAAGUCUUUGAAUCCUCGAGUCAUGUAUGUCUUAAGCUCUUUGUUCACCUUUUCUUCAUCCCACAUGAAUCCUUGUAUAUUCUUCACACAUAUUUUACGAAUCAGGUUUUUGGAUCAACUGACUUUACAUUCGGUUAAGGUCAUAUAUAUUCUUGAUUAGAGUCUUACCUGAACCCACUCGAAGUAACUUACAGUGACUCCUCCUGAGUUAGCGUAUAUAUCUGGGAGGAUUACAACACCUUUCCUCCUCAAGAUCUGCAAGAGACAGUUGAUACUGAGUCUUUCAUGCUGAGUCUAUGACGAAGAAGAACAAAAACAAAGAAUCAGAUUUUCUAACCUCGUCAGCCUCAGGGUCAGUUGGGUGAUUAGCACCUUCAAUGAUAAAUUUCGCUUUGAUUUCGUUUGCAUUUUCCCUAAAAACAGAUCAAAGUCAGAGUUUCAUAAGAAAGUCCAUGAAAGAGAGAGAAGAUUAAUUUAAGAGACAAGAAACUUUAAAGACCUGUUGAUGACACCGCCUAGAGCUGCAGGGACAAGAAUAUCACAAUCUUCGACAAGAAUAGAAUCAGUAUCAAUCGAAUCAGCACCAUCAAACCCUUUGAUUCCUCUGGUUUCUUCGACAUGCUCAAGCAAACCCAAAAUAUCGAUUCCGUUCUUGUUCUUGAUUGCUCCUGUGACAUCGCUCACCGCCACAAUCUUACCACCUUUUUCACUUAUCAACUUCGCCGCCCAAGAACCAACAUUUCCAAAACCCUAAGAGACAGAGACAGUAUGAGUGCCUUCACACGCAAGUAACAUCUGUAAGUAAACAUUUUUGUACUUCUUAUACCUGGAUGGCGAAUCGUUGUCCAGAUAUGCUCAUUCCAUGUUCAUUGAGCAAAGCUUCUGUCGCAAAUAAUACUCCUCUUCCUGUCGCAGCAUCUCUCCCAAGAGAUCCACCAAGAUCCUGCUCAAAAAUCAAAUCUCACUCAGUUUUAGAUUGGUUGAACAGAUAAACCGAACAAACCGCAAUAAGAACGGUCACUUACAAUGGGUUUUCCGGUCACAACAGCAGGCGAGUGUCCGUGAAAUUUUGAGUAUUCAUCAAGCAUCCAAGCCAUUGUCUGAAAAUUUUCAUCAGUAUGUUUCAGACAAAAACAAAACAUAAGAACUCCCAACUGAAGUACAAAAUAAAGAAAUCGUAUUCGAAACCUGAGGACCGGUUCCCAUAUCAGGAGCUGGAACAUCGGUAUGAAUGCCUAUGAGAUCGUGGAUCUUCUGAGUGAAAACACGAGUCAAACGUUCGAGCUCUGAGAUGCUUAGCUCGCUCGGGUCACAACCUAUUCCUCCUUUGGCUCCUCCGUAAGGUAUCUUAGCCACUGCUGUUUUCCAUGUCAUGAGUUGAGCCAAAGCGUUUACUUCAUCCGGUUCGACCUGUCGAUAACCGAUUUCUGGUUUAUACUUCAUUCCAAUAUUGAAUUUGGUUUGGUUUGAUGACCCAAAAAAAAAAAAAAAGAGUCCAGUAAAACAAACCUCAGGAUGAUAUCUGAUUCCACCUUUCAUGGGACCUCUUGCAUUGUCGUGUUGAACUCUGAAUCCAACAUAUGAUGCAAGAGUUCCAUCGUCUUUAGGUAUGGUACAUUCCACCUGCAAUAAUUGGUUAGUUCCGGUUUAAUGAUCUUGAACCGGAUCUGUUAUAGAUGGAUGGACAGAAACAGAGGAAAUGAUCGAAACCUUGAUCUCUCUGAAGGGAAUGAGAAGACUUUUCUCGAGCUUAGAGUCUAAACCAAGAAGUCUAGAAGCUAGUUUGAAGUUUCUGUUGGUUGCUGCUAAAGCAUUCAUGGCUUUCUUCUCUCUUCUCGAAAUUUGGAUUUAUUUGAUCAAAAGAGACUCUAAUAUAUGAAAAAUAGUUGGAAAAAAAUGUGAUUCUUGCUUAUGUUAUUGCAAGUAUAUAUAUAUAGAGAGAUACGUAUACACUUCGUGUUGAUGUGUUGAGGAAUAUGAGAAUGAGAAUUCUUGUUUUCUUGUAAAAUUUAAAUAAGGAAUAUGAAUAUAACUAAAUAAAGACAUACCCAUAAUUGAUCCUGAUUUUGAGUAUUAAGAAUAGUACAAUGUGUCUCUCUAACAAAGUUUUUAGACACAAUAAAAAAAAUAUAUAUAUAUGAUAGUUUAUAGAAAUUUUGCACAUGUCCUCCAUGUGUAUAAUAAAUUACAAUAAUGAAAUAUUCAUUACUAGUGAAAACAAUCCGGAGAUUAAUUAAGCAGAAUAAAUAUAUUCUUUUCAUUCCAAAAAGAUAGGAUAAAUAAAGAUUUAUUUACAGGACAGAAUCAUGACAUACAUAUUACAUAGAUUAUAGAUAAAAAAAGAGUAAGCUUAUGAAAUUUAAUCUAAUUGUAUCACACAGUGUCAUUUUAAUUCAUUUCUAAGAUGAUUUAUUUUAAGUAAAUAUAUCAACAAAAACCAAAAGCAAUUAUACCACUUUAUAAUUACGUAGAUGAUUUUAUUCAUUUGGAAUUACUUAGUAUCUACUAAGAUUAUUUUAACCACUUUCAUAGUCUAUAUAUAAAAUUUAAAGUUUUUAUCUUAUAGUUUUAGUAAAAAAAUGUUAUAGGAAAAUCAUGCGAAUAUAAUUGUCUAGGUAGAGGCCGACCUAAUAUAUACCGAAAUGAAUGUUGCAUGUCAUAAGAUCUCCUUACGUGUUAUUAACUUAUUCUAUUCUAUCAGGCAUCUACACAUAACACACAUAUAUAUAUAUAUAUAGCGUAUACACUUUUGCGAGUAGUGUCAGUGACAAACAAAAAACGUAUGUAUACACUUAGUGAGAGUUAGUGUCUUUAGUGGGAAAGAAAAAACGUAUACACUUAAUUAUUAUUUACACACAUACAAUAUUCAGUUUUGAUUGUAAAUAUUCUUUGCACAUAUGUUUUCUUUAGAUACUCAAAUCAGAAUCUUUAGGGAAUCAGAGGAUGACACGAGAGAGGAUGCAACAAAUCAAGAAACACAAAACAAUUACAAGAUUCCAUCACCGAAGAAUCUUUUUGGAAUAAAAGAUUUCCCACGAUUAAUGCUUCCACUAAUAUAAAUUGUGGAUUUCCACCAAGAUUUUUCUUUCUCUAUCAAUUCCCAAAAGAAGAUAUCAAUUUCGUAAUAACAUUUGACCUUAUACAAUAAUAUCCUAGUGUUUCCAAAUUUGAUCUAACCUCUUUAGUCAAAAACAAACUAAUAUAUAAAACAUGAUAACCCAAUAUAAAUCAUAUUCAUGGUAGCUAAUGUCAUGGUUUUAUUAUUAUUUUUAAAAAUGUUAUGCAUAUAGCUUUUUAUAUCACUUUUUCAAAUUUUAGUAACUGAUAAAAAAAAAUAAAACCAGUUGGACUUUUCCUUAAAAGGCCACUCCCAAAUAAAACAAAUUACGCGAGAAUAAUGGCAUUAAUUAACUAUACUAGGAAAAUAAAUAAAAAUGUAUUUAAAAUAUUAAAACAAUGUCUAAAAUCAAUUCAAGACCAUAAGUUAUCCUGUAUAUUUUUGGAUAACCCACUUAAUUGCGGCCUUAAUAUUAUGGGCUUUGUUAUAUAGCCCAUCAAUCUCUAAGUGAAAAAACCUUGAUGCUAAAAGCUCAAAUAAACGUGUCUUCAGGGACCAAGUCCUCGUUAUUACAAUCACUGAUCAACCCACAUUGUUCUCUUCUCUCCAUCUGUCUGCCACUCCAUUAAUGUCGGUUCCCANNNNNNNNNNNNNNNNNNNNNNNNNNNNNNNNNNNNNNNNNNNNNNNNNNNNNNNNNNNNNNNNNNNNNNNNNNNNNNNNNNNNNNNNNNNNNNNNNNNNNNNNNNNNNNNNNNNNNNNNNNNNNNNNNNNNNNNNNNNNNNNNNNNNNNNNNNNNNNNNNNNNNNNNNNNNNNNNNNNNNNNNNNNNNNNNNNNNNNNNNNNNNNNNNNNNNNNNNNNNNNNNNNNNNNNNNNNNNNNNNNNNNNNNNNNNNNNNNNNNNNNNNNNNNNNNNNNNNNNNNNNNNNNNNNNNNNNNNNNNNNNNNNNNNNNNNNNNNNNNNNNNNNNNNNNNNNNNNNNNNNNNNNNNNNNNNNNNNNNNNNNNNNNNNNNNNNNNNNNNNNNNNNNNNNNNNNNNNNNNNNNNNNNNNNNNNNNNNNNNNNNNNNNNNNNNNNNNNNNNNNNNNNNNNNNNNNNNNNNNNNNNNNNNNNNNNNNNNNNNNNNNNNNNNNNNNNNNNNNNNNNNNNGUGGUCUUCUUAAUGUUGUUUGAACGUGUCUUUACAGAUUGGAUCCAGUUUCUGGUGGUCUAGUUUCUCUGAGUUUUGGUGAUCGAGCAGAUUAACAGGCAGAGUUUUAAGAAUGUCGACAGUGGGGAAUUCAACAAACAUAUUUUGGCAAGAAUCACCCAUUGGGAAAGCUGAAAGGCAAAAGUUGUUAAACCAGAGGGGCUGUGUGGUGUGGAUCACAGGGCUCAGUGGCUCAGGUCAAUCUCAUAAAUCUUCCUCAUUUUGAUGAUUACUUAAGCUGCCUUGUUUAUGUCAAGUUCUUAUGUUACAUAAGUCUCUGUCUAUAUUCUAAAUUCUUAGUUAGACUGAAACAUUGUUCAGGGAAAAGCACGUUAGCUUGCUCGCUGAGUAGAGAGCUGAACAACCGGGGCAAGUUAUCAUAUAUUCUUGAUGGGGACAAUCUUCGUCAUGGUUUGAACAAAGAUCUUGGUUUCAAGGCAGAGGACAGAGUUGAAAAUAUACGCAGAGUCGGUAAGUACAUUACUUGUUACAUUUUGAAUUGGAUUGGUGAAAGUCUAAUAGUAUUGAUAGUUAUGGCUUACAAAUUACUAAACCCCAUCGAUAUACAUAUUCUUUUAUACCUGAAAGCUGAUACAGGUUCUGGUUAUUAUUGAAAGAAAAUUCUCAAAAGGACAAUGUGAAAGAAAACCAUUUAUAUGUUAAAACGCAGGAGAAGUAGCAAAACUCUUUGCGGAUGCUGGUUUGAUAUGCAUCGCCAGCCUCAUAUCGCCAUAUAGAAAAGACCGUGAUGCCUGCAGGGAAAUGAUGCAGGAUUCAUCUUUUAUCGAGGCAAGCUAUCUGAAACCAGACUUUACAGGUUGUAGCACCCAUUCAGUUUAACAUAUUUGUUUGAUGUUGUGGGAUAAACUCUUCAGGUUUACAUGAACAUGUCUCUACAAUUGUGUGAAGCAAGAGACCCUAAAGGCCUAUACAAGCUAGCGCGUGCAGGAAAGAUCAAAGGUGAGAUAACAUAGCUUCCAUAGAAACAGAAGAUAUCAUUUGGAUCUUUAUAGAAGGCCUUAUUUCUGCAUUCCCUUUUGUUUAGGUUUCACAGGAAUAGAUGAUCCGUAUGAAUCUCCCUUGAAUUGUGAGGUAUUAUCCUUGUGAAUAUAUAUGAUUCUUCUUCAAAUAUGGCAAACUAAAUCUAUCUUGCGUGUGUGUGAAAUAAGUUAAUCAGCUUUUGUACAUAUGUUUUGAAACCUAACAGAUAGAGCUGAAAGAGAAAGAAGGAGAGUGUCCUUCCCCUGUAGCUAUGGCUGAAGAAGUCAUCUCUUAUUUAGAAGACAAAGGUUUCCUCCAAAACGAGUAACCUUCAACAUAAUCCAACGGCUGGGAUUGUUCCUCUGAUUAUUACUCUCAUAAAUAUAUAUAUAUCCCCAUCUCUUUCUUCUCAAACCUAUCAACUUUUCUAUACUGAAUGUCUGAAACUCAAGUGAUUCAACGGCAGAGUCUUACCAAGCUAAAUCAGAAUAUUGCAGUUACAUUUGUUAAGGUAAAUCACACCAAUUUGAAGUAAGUAACAAGUCAUUCCAUUGAGGAUGAUCUAUUCAAAACCCUAUACAACAACGACAAAGACUACUGCCAAUAUUAUUCUUCUGAAUUUGAUACUAUGGUGCAACGGUUAUACUGAUACACUUAUGAUAGAUUGAUAGUGGAUAAAUUGAUUCAGAAAAAAAUAUAGAUCUUAUUUGAAUAGCUUGUAAAAAUAGAGGGUUCUUUUUGCAAUGUUCCCUAAAUGUUUAGAUUCUGAUGAGUUGUGCAAUAUAAAAAAAAACAAAAAACUCGAUCCCGGGGGACAAUUUAGAGACAAAAGAUGGUGUUGAAUAGUCGAUUGGUGGAGACAACGGUGAAUCUAUCGGCAGAUCUCUGGCAAUAUGUUGCUUGUAACCCCGAGAGACUUCCUCGCGCUACCGUGCUCAAUUUUAUCUUCUGCAUCCCUCUCCUCCAACUCCGCCGCCUCGCUUCCUCUCUCGGAUCAUACCUCUGCUUCGUUUCCGGCACCGGAGUCGAUCGCCGUACUCAUUUCGAUUAAUUUCUCGUCGUAGUUUCCGCGAAUCGUCUGUUAAAUUUCGACUUUGGUUCUGUAAAAUUUUGUUUUGAUUGUAAUAUUGUAAUCUCAGUUUGUUUGUAAACCGAAAGGGACAUUAAAAAAUUAAUACCAGAAUUAACCGAAAUGUUUUAACAAGAUACAAAACCAAACCGGGUUGUUCGGAAUUGUGUUUUCUCUCUCAUCAAAGGAGAGAAGAAAGGUGAGGGGAGACGUGUAAAACAGACAACAUCCGAAAGGUUCCGUUUUCGUGGGGAAGAAGAUGAAGUCGCUUGUAGUGGCCCAUUUCUCAACGCCUUUAAUCACUUCUACUUCUAGAUUGUUGUUCCCUUUAUGUCUUAAUCAUCGAGCUUCAUUCUCCGCCGUCUCUUUCCCCACCGUCCGCCGCCGAUAUUCUCCUCUCGCCAUGGCCUCAUCAGCUCAGUCCUCUUCUCAGGUCAGGAUUCAGUAUUUGGAGUUUUAUUGAUGAAUCCGUUGGUAUUGCUCAGGAGAACCAGUGAAUCUGUAUUUUGAUUGAUGUGGCUCCUUGAUCUAAUUUCCUGUAAUCAUUUUGGUUUUGUAUUUGUUAGUUUGAUCUUUUUGGUUUGAGGUCAACUGCUGAAAACUUGUAACUUUAUGUCUCACACUUGUACUAAUCAGGCUGUGUCUUCCGGGAGUGCCGACAGUGAUACAGAUGUUUUUAAAUUGAUUCAAGCUCACGAGGUAACUAAUGUGCCAAUUUUGUAAUCAUGGUAUCUGAAUAUAUCUAGUAUAUGAUUUGACAAUAUUCAUGUUCUCAAUGCCAUGUUAAUUUUUUUUGCAUUCAUAGUUCUCAGAGCUUUGUGAAUUAGUUUUAAAGUAUUGAUAAUGGGUCGUUUAAUCUGCAGGAGAAGGCUGCUCGUCUUUCCCCAGUCGAAGAAAUCCGAACUGUGCUUAAUGGUAGCCUCUGCGGUAUGCUUUCCACUUUUUCUCAGGUGAGCAAUUAAAUUAAUCUUCUAUGAACAUGAUUUCUCUUAGAGAAAAUUAGGAUGUGUGCCGAAGUACUAGGAUUCUGAUUAUUUGGUCACCGUGUCACACAUUGUAAUUUCAAAAGCUACCUUCACUCUAUCUCAUUUACCGCAAUUUUGAUCUGAUGCAGAAGUAUGAGGGUUAUCCUUCAGGUUCAAUGGUUGAUUUUGCAUGUGAUGCUGAUGGUUCUCCUAUUCUGGCAGUUAGUAGCUUGGCAGUUCAUACAAAGGUUUGUUGCUUAUUCAAGGACUUAUGAUGAUUCAUCUCUGUUUUUGCUGCAAUCUAGAGGACUUUUAACGAUAGUUUGCAAAAUGAAAAUGUGUGGAAUAGUGAAGUGACUGCGGAAGCAAAGUAAAAAAGCAAUCGUCUUCCCUUCUUUUACAAAUUUAGAUGUCUUGACCUUAUAAUUUAUUAUGCCGUUUGCAGGAUCUUUUAGCUAAUCCAAAAUGCUCACUACUAAUUGCUAGAGACCCAGAGGAUAGGACCGGUUUGAGGAUCACCCUACAUGGUGAUGCAGUGUUGGUAUGUAUUUCGCUGUGUUUUUGUUUUAUCUGCACUUACAGUCAAAUAGAAUGCUUGAAUGUUUUUCUCUUUAUUUUUAGGUUUCUGAAAAAGAUCAAGCAGCUGUUCGAUCUGCCUAUUUAGCCAAGCAUCCCAGUGCUUUCUGGGUAAACACCCUUUCUUAUAAUGACUAAAGUGAAGAACCCCCCAAAGACAAUGUACUGUAACAUAUCAAUUAAUUAACUGAACCUUUUUUUCUUGAAACGUCGAAGGUUGAUUUCGGGGACUUCAGCCUUAUGCGAAUCGAACCGAAAGUUGUCAGAUAUGUUUCAGGGGUUGCAACUGCUUUUCUGGGAUCUGGAGGUAUCUUUUUUGCUUCAUCUAAUAUAUAUCCUAUCUUCUGCAACACAAUUUAUUGUAAUCCCGCUAAUAUUUUACUUACUCUCUGAAAUCUCGAUUUCCAGAAUUCAGCAAAGAGGAGUUCCAAGCAGCCAAAGUUGAUCCUAUAGCUCAGUAUGCAAAGCCUGUAAUGGUAUAACAAACAUAUCCCCAGUACAAUCGUCAACAUAUAGGAGUGGAUGUGUACUAACUAACUCCUUUUCAUUUCGGCAGUCUCACAUGAACAAAGAUCAUGAAGAGGAUACCAUAGCCAUUGUACACAAUAUAACAUCCAUACCUGUAAGUGAUUCAGUUCACCAUCUUAAUCUUGGUCAACAAAAAACUUCAGUAAUGAACAUUUAAUUCUAUGAAAUCUAGUUAAGUUCAGCCUUAUUUGUUUUCGACAGACGAUCAUACCAUACGAUAUAUUAACAUAUAUCACAUUCAAACUAUAUAAUGAGUAUAUUUCCUUGAAUAUCAGGUGGAGAGCGCCUUGAUGCUAGAUUUGGACAGCCUUGGUUUCAACGUUAAGGUGUGUUUUCUGAACGUCAAAACCCCAAUAUCUCAUCUUUCAGUGUACGAAACAGAUGUUCUUUUCCUCGUUACAGGCUACUCUUCAAGGGAACUCCUUCAAACUCCGAGUUCCAUUCCCAAGACGCGCACAAGACAGAAAGUAAGAUCAAGACUCUAUGUUGCAGUUUUGUUCCCAGUUUCAGUCUAGAUUAAAACAACCGAUUCCCUGUACUACAAGUGAUACAAAACUGAUUGAGUAACUCUUAAAUUGGUGGUGGUUUUGCAGGGAUGUGAAGACACUGAUAGUGGAAAUGCUUCAAGCCGCCAAAUCUGUUUCCAAUUAGUUAUCUAAGUUAAAGAUGGAAAAAGCUCUCUACCUUCUGAAUCUUGCUACAACAAGACAAGCUUCCUCCUUUACACAUUCCUUAUCUUUGUAUUGCAAAAGAACAUUCAUUGAGUCCUGUAUAUAUGUUAACAAGACUUUAACUAAACUUACACAUGGAAAAGUUAUAAAUGGAGAUAUGUGAAUUCAUAUCGGCUCUCAUGUAUGCUUAUUCCAUUCACAUUGCUUGUAAUUGUAGGGAAAGUUUAAAUGUAGUUUAAAGUUACUAAUUGACUAGCGGGUACGACAAAGACUAAUCCAAAGCAGCAGAGACUAUACCAGACUAUACCAAACAGCAUAAAUCAAACACGAGAUUUCCAACUAUUUUAGAAACUUUAUAAAUAAAACAAAUUUUUUUACUUAAAUUGGCUUCUACAUAGGGUUGUAAUGGUAUGAAUAUGAGAGUUCCAUCAAUAAGGGUCCAUUAAUUUAAGUUAUAUUUUUUGUUUUAUUACUUUUGUGGCAUGAAAUUGAUAAGGGUCCAUCAAUAAAUGUCAACAGUGGUGAGAGUAGCAUAUAAAACUUAGACUUUUCUACUUUGUAUAUUAUAAAGUUUGAAUGCGAAGGAGGGUACAUAAAGAAGAUUUCACCCACUCCACCAACUACAAUUCAAUUCUUUUGUUAUUAUUAGCUAAAUGGGGAUCUACUGAUCCCAUGUUCAAUAAGUUAACUCAAUAAGUUACAUAAAAAAGAAGUGAUAUAUAAAGUGGACUUUGAAAUAAAAUUCUUCAAUUGAUUAGUUCUCUGCUCUUUGUAUAGAUGUUAUUGGUGAAUAGACUCAAUGGGAAAUAUUUAUUACUCAAAAUACAUUGGUAACGAUUUAUUUUUCUAUGUAACUUAAAAGGAAACAAAAAAAGAAGGUUAAAGCUAAAUGAUGACGCAAAAAGUACAAACCCCCUUGUCCAAAGCAGCAGUACAGUCCAACUGUUUAGUCAACUCAAGACAUCCUACUAUCUUUUGUUGCUAUUGUCUGUUUUUUUACUUUUGUCUUCAAUAUCUACCAAAAAAAAUACUGUUUUACAGAGGAAUCUCGUAAUCUGGACUGAAAAUACGUAUAAGAAAUUCUAACUCAAAUUAUAAUUAUUUCAAACAACUAAAAAUAUACUUAACCUUAAAAAAUGUAAAUCAUGAGAUUAUUAUGUUUUGGAAGAUUCGACCAGAAAAUGUUUUGGAGGAUAAUUAACUUAUUUAAUUUAAUUGAAAGGGUGAGACCUGGACCGGUUGGAAAAGCCCAUUAAAGAGGCCCAUCUUUGCACAGAAAACCCUAACGCCUUGUCCAAUUUACUAGUCUGUCUCCGACAGAACUUUACAAAAGUCAAAUCUAAUCUUCAAGCCUAUGCGCAGUACCUGCUGUUAUAUAUUUAGAUCUGCUCUCGCUUUUUUCUUCCACCGAUCUACAAGCCUAUAUGCGGUACCUAAUCUUCAAGAUUUCUUUGGUAUGUGAUAACACUUUUGCUGAUUGAUUCGUUAUAUAUAUGUAGAUCUGUGUUUGUUUUGAUGAUAUAUAUGUAGAUCUGUUAUUGAGUUUUCUUUCACCGGUCUAUGUAGUGCCUGAUCAUCAAAUUUCAUUAGGAUUUGAUAUUGUUUUACUGAUAGAUAUGUUAUAUAUGUGUGUUUGUUUUUUCUUCCAUCGAUCUAUAAGCAUGUAUGUAGAUUUCUAUUUGUUUUCAAAAUAUAAUUGAUUGGCUUUCGUUCUUACAUUUUCUAGUAACAGUAAUUUUUUUUUUCCUUUUGGUAAAGUUUACUUUUACUAUAUUGGACUGUGGCCCAAUAGAAAGACCCAAUUCUAAAAUCGAACAAAAUAUCAUUAUAAUAUCUUGCCCUCCAUCCCAAAAAUCUGAAAUUCUGCGAAAAACCCUAAUCUUGCAUCACGAUCAUGCUGAAAGCUAAUCUGAAACUCCUCUCUUCGGUUAGGUCGAGAUGCUCUUCAAGAGCUUCUUCCAGUCGAUUCCAGUUUUGUGUUUUUGCUGACGUGAACACUGAUGGCUUAUUUUCACGGUAUUUUCACGGUACUUUCCAACAAUUACAGCAAAAUGUAGCGCAGAAAAGUGAUGUAGCAUAGGCAAAGGCUCUUCCCAGAAGAAUAUCAAUAUCAUGUAACA
Molecule: long non-coding RNA, 13905 nt
Filed under: Capsella grandiflora
Lineage: Eukaryota; Viridiplantae; Streptophyta; Magnoliopsida; Brassicales; Brassicaceae
Description: long non-coding RNA (CGRA_LNC000638)
Source: RNAcentral